Molecule: ribosomal RNA, 209 nt
Filed under: uncultured bacterium
Lineage: Bacteria
Description: partial 16S ribosomal RNA
Rfam family: Bacterial small subunit ribosomal RNA
Source: RNAcentral
UGCGUAGGUGGUUGGUUAAGUUUGAGGUGAAAGCUCCGAGCUCAACUCGGAAAAUGCCUUGAAGACUAUCUGACUAGAGGAUUGGAGGGGGAGAGUUGGAAUUCUCGGUGUAGCAGUGAAAUGCGUAGAUAUCGAGAGGAACACCAGUGGCGAAGGCGAAUCUCUGGACAAUUCCUGACACUGAGGCACGAAAGCCAAGGGAGCAAACG